Molecule: microRNA precursor, 80 nt
Filed under: Loa loa (African eye worm)
Lineage: Eukaryota; Metazoa; Nematoda; Chromadorea; Rhabditida; Onchocercidae
Description: mir-250 microRNA precursor family
Rfam family: mir-250 microRNA precursor family
Source: Rfam by way of RNAcentral
UGAGCUUGAACCGUCAGUGGUCUUGUGAUUCGUUGAGGAAAUUUUGAAUCGAAUCACAGCCAACUGGUGGUUCAGCUUGU